UGGAUUAAAUUUUCUUUUCAAUUAUUUAUUACACAUAUUUGCAAAGAAAAUAUAAAUAUUAAUUUAUAGGUUAAGUACAUCGAUGAUCACUUCACUAACGUGAAGUUAUUUCUAAUUCGAAUCAAACGAUUCGGAUGAGAGGGAAGCGAUUGGUUUGAGGUUAGAUUUUCACAGUAGAUGGCGCUCAUAGGCGAAAUUAUGCAUCUCGUAGCGACAAAUUCUAGCGUCACGGAUCGUAAACGGAUCAACGUAAUUUACGAUCACGAACGCGUCUAAUUCCGAUCGCACCUGUUCGAUCAAUAGAACGAUUGAUUUAUCGAAAUCUAAGAGGACAAUGGCGCCAACCAACGAUAAUAAACCGUUCCAUUGUUUAAUAGAGGAAAUCGCAUAGGUUAAAAUAAAUUUUUCCACGAAAUGUUCGUUUCAUUACGAUUAAACUACUUCGAAGAAAUAAAUUUCGAAGAACAGAGUAAAAAUAAAAUUCUGUGGAAUUAUUCGAAUACAAAAUAAUACAUGAAAGGAAGCAUAGUUAGAUGGAUGGUAACAACUGAAAUUAGAAUGAUAUCGAAGAAUAGAGUAGAUUAACCGGGCUUUGAAAUUCAGAAAUUCACGUAAAAGUAACGGAAAAUGAAUGGAAGAAGAGGAGUAUCGACAAUUGUAGAAAUCGAGAUAACCACGAUCCUGGCCUCGAAUGCGCAGGAAGCCCGAUAAUAACCGGAAGUGCACCGAGACGAGUCCAUUACCAACCUGUCCUGAAAUGCUGGGCUCGUUUCGCUUGGUCCCUGAAAAUUAGCAACGACUAACGAGCCCCGUUAUCUCCAUACCGAUUUCAUCGUGCGAGAUUCACAUUUCUCAUCUAAUUUCCUUCUCAAGUUGAAGAUUAAACGAGAAACUCGAAACUUUGGUUUUCGAAAAAUUUAAAAUUUCUUAUUAUAAAUGUCGGUAAGAUAGGAUUAUAGUAUAUAGGAUUAUAUAAACUAGAUUUAAAUGGAAUUAAAAUUUAAUAUAAGUUAGAUUUUGAACUUUUGAACAUUUAAUUUUAGGUUUAUUUAAGAAGUAUUGGGGAAAUAAGUUUAUUAAGUUAAAAUUUUGAACACGAUUAAAAUAUGUAUUUAAUAUGAAUGAUAAUUUGAUCAAUAUUAUAAUUCUCUUAAACGUUAGAUUUAUAGGGUUUUCAAAAACUUGAAAUAUCUUCGAUUCUCAUGAAAUAAGAGCAACAAGUGGCACAUAGUAUUUAUUAUCCUUCUGUUUGCUCCAAGUUCUUCCAGCUGACUAAUGCGACGCUUCACUACUAGACGUGUCUGUCAGUAAUAAAGGUCGACGCUCUAUCGAACGAUCUGAGUAGUCGCGGUACGCCUCGUGUCAGACUGCCGCUAGUGAUGGUUAACAUUUUAAGGUCAGCCAGCGACGGGUUGAAAGCUGAAUUAUUGAAAUAGUAACGAUUCAUCUUCGAGCGUGCAGAAUUUAUUCAAAUUGAAAGAGAUAUUAAUCCUGUGAAUCGUACAUGGGUGAGAAAUUCAUAUUAAAAAUAAAAUAUUACGAAAUUAAUUAUAAAUUGUUGUUAAUAAUGAAUAGAAUCUUUAUA
RNAcentral lists this long non-coding RNA (1585 nucleotides) under Apis dorsata (giant honeybee). Its description in RNAcentral is "uncharacterized LOC116185082". The record is from RNAcentral. Lineage: Eukaryota; Metazoa; Arthropoda; Insecta; Hymenoptera; Apidae.